GAUGAACGCUAGCGGCAGGCUUAAUACAUGCAAGUCGUGGGGCAGCGCGGAUAGCAAUAUCUGGCGGCGACCGGCAAACGGGUGAGGAACAUGUACGCAACCUUCCUUUAACUGGAGAAUAGCCCCUCGAAAGAGGGAUUAAUACUCCGUAACAUAAUGAAGUGGCAUCGCUUUAUUAUUAUAGCUCCGGCGGUUAAAGAUGGGCGUGCACCUGAUUAGAUAGUUGGCGGGGUAAUGGCCCACCAAGUCUACGAUCAGUAACUGGUGUGAGAGCACGACCAGUCACACGGGCACUGAGACACGGGUCCGACUCCUACGGGAGGCAGCAGUAAGGAAUAUUGGUCAAUGGACGCAAGUCUGAACCAGCCAUGCCGCGUGGAGGAUUAAGGCCCUCUGGGUUGUAAACUCCUUUUAUCUGGGAAGAAAUGUACUUUUUCUUGAGUACUUGACGGUACCAGAGGAAUAAGCACCGGCUAACUCCGUGCCAGCAGCCGCGGUAAUCACG
Molecule: ribosomal RNA, 505 nt
Filed under: uncultured bacterium
Lineage: Bacteria
Description: bacterial SSU rRNA
Rfam family: Bacterial small subunit ribosomal RNA
Source: RNAcentral